Molecule: ribosomal RNA, 253 nt
Filed under: uncultured bacterium
Lineage: Bacteria
Description: partial 16S ribosomal RNA
Rfam family: Bacterial small subunit ribosomal RNA
Source: RNAcentral
UACGUAGGGGGCUAGCGUUGUUCGGAAUUACUGGGCGUAAAGCGCACGUAGGCGGUUCUUUAAGUCAGGGGUGAAAUCCCGAGGCUCAACCUCGGAACUGCCUUUGAUACUGGGGAUCUCGAGUCCGGGAGAGGUGAGUGGAACUGCGAGUGUAGAGGUGAAAUUCGUAGAUAUUCGGAAGAACACCAGUGGCGAAGGCGGCUCACUGGCCCGGAACUGACGCUGAGGUGCGAAAGCGUGGGGAGCAAACAGG